Molecule: ribosomal RNA, 468 nt
Filed under: uncultured bacterium
Lineage: Bacteria
Description: partial 16S ribosomal RNA
Rfam family: Bacterial small subunit ribosomal RNA
Source: RNAcentral
GACGAACGCUGGCGGCGUGCCUAACACAUGCAAGUCGAACGGAAAGGCCCUGCUUUUGUGGGGUGCUCGAGUGGCGAACGGGUGAGCAACACGUGAGUAACCUGCCCUUGACUUUGGGAUAACUUCAGGAAACUGGGGCUAAUACCGGAUAGGAGCUCCUGCUGCAUGGUGGGGGUUGGAAAGUUUCGGCGGUUGGGGAUGGACUCGCGGCUUAUCAGCUUGUUGGUGGGGUAGUGGCUUACCAAGGCUUUGACGGGUAGCCGGCCUGAGAGGGUGACCGGCCACAUUGGGACUGAGAUACGGCCCAGACUCCUACGGGAGGCAGCAGUGGGGAAUAUUGCACAAUGGGCGGAAGCCUGAUGCAGCAACGCCGCGUGCGGGAUGACGGCCUUCGGGUCGUAAACCGCUUUCGCCUGUGACGAAGCGUGAGUGACGGUAAUGGGUAAAGAAGCACCGGCUAACUACGUG